GGAGGUAGUGACAAUAAAUCACAAUGCGGAACAAUGUUUUGCAAUUGGAUUGAGAACAACGUACAAACCUUAUCGAUAAACAAUUGGAGGGCAAGUCUGGUGCCAGCAGCCGCGGUAAUUCCAGCUCCAAUAGCGUAUAUUAACGUUGUUGCAGUUAAAAAGCUCGUAGUUGAAAUGAAGGGUAGUUGUGUAAUGAAUACAUUCGUGUAUUUUGUUAUUCUACUACCCUCCUUCUAAAUUCGAUAUAUGAGUAUUAAUUUACUUGUAUAUGGUUUUAGACYUUUACUGUGAGAAAAUUAGAGUGUUCAAAGCAGGCAUUUGCUUGAAUAUAUUAGCAUGGAAUAAUCAUGUAUGAUUUUCAUGAUGUAUUUGAUUGGUUUGGUUCAUGAGAAUAAGAUUAAAAGGGACAGUUGGGGGUAUUCAUAUUCAAUAGUCAGAGGUGAAAUUCUCGGAUUUAUGGAAGAUGAACAAGU
RNAcentral lists this ribosomal RNA (473 nucleotides) under Blastocystis sp. RNAcentral describes it as "SSU rRNA". It matches the Rfam family "Eukaryotic small subunit ribosomal RNA", at positions 462 to 955 of the family's 1831-position model. Lineage: Eukaryota; Bigyra; Opalinata; Blastocystidae. The record is from RNAcentral.